RNAcentral lists this small RNA (181 nucleotides) under Drosophila guanche. The record is from RNAcentral. Lineage: Eukaryota; Metazoa; Arthropoda; Insecta; Diptera; Drosophilidae.
GCACAGCAGAUCGAACAGCUCCGCGGCCUCGGCAGCCGCCGCAUGUUCGGCCAUCAGCAGCUGUUGCUGCUGUUGCUGUUGCACCGUCAGCUGCUGCUGCUGCUGCUGUAGCUGCAACUGCUGCUGCUGCUGCUGCGUCUGGUGGUGCCGCUGAUGUUGGCGGCUCAUUCUACGAAAGAGA